This 408-nucleotide long non-coding RNA is filed under the name Mus musculus (house mouse). RNAcentral's name for it is "RIKEN cDNA 1700041C23 gene (1700041C23Rik)". Lineage: Eukaryota; Metazoa; Chordata; Mammalia; Rodentia; Muridae. The record is from RNAcentral.
AGUGUGAUGUGAGACUUCUCAACAUACACUUGGGAUAGUGCAGAGUUAUAUAUUUUGGUUUGAUAGAGAUUUCACAAUGGGAAACAGAUGUUCCUCUAAAGUUCUUCCCAUUGACUUCCAGAAAAAGGCCUCAGAAGGUGAGGAGGCAAAGUCACCUAAGGUGGCACCAAGGAAGAAAAGAACUUCUCUGGUGUGGAGACUAAAUUUUAAGAAAAAAUUGCUGCGACACAAUGCUGUCGUUUCAGUAGAACAGCAAAAUGAAGAACUCUGAAGCACUUUUUUGAAGAUGAAGACCUUACAAGAAGGCAAAGUCAUCACUCACUAAGGUCCAGUUGGGAAAAUGAAGAUCCUGUAUGUAUUCUGUAAUGACUCUUAGAAUAUAUUUUAUAUAAGAAAAAAAAAAAAAAA